Chlorocebus sabaeus (green monkey) is the source of this 150-nucleotide microRNA precursor. The record is from Ensembl. Lineage: Eukaryota; Metazoa; Chordata; Mammalia; Primates; Cercopithecidae.
AAUACAGAACAUCAGUUACAUUUGAAUUUCAGAUAAAGAGUGAAGUUUUUUAGUAUAAGUAUGCCUCAUGCAAUACUUGGGAUAUACUUAUACUAAAAAUAUAUUCAUCCUUUAUCUAAAAUUCUAAUUUAACUGUGCAUCUUAUAUUUU